Molecule: long non-coding RNA, 2982 nt
Organism: Parus major (Great Tit)
Lineage: Eukaryota; Metazoa; Chordata; Aves; Passeriformes; Paridae
Source: Ensembl
CCUACUGCUCAUAACUACAGUGUAGGUUGGCAUCUCUGGCCUCAUGAGGACAAACUGGUUUUCUUCUCACCAGAACCUCCUAAAAGCAGCAGAGCAUUCAACUGCCUUUCUUCCACUUGCCCUGAAGACAAGCACAAAAUGUCAAUGUAUGCUCAGACUGCAUAUACUGCUGAUCAUGCUAUGGAAAGCUGGGCUGUUCCAUGGGUGAUUGUUCAGAAAACAGCCCCUGCUUGUGUCUCUGAGAACAAGCAUUUUUUUGUUGUUUGGGAGCAAGCAUCUCUGGAGUUAAAUGAGGAGGGCUGUUGUUCUCCACGGAGGCUGGAGUGCGUCGCUGUGCCUGGUGGUUGUCGGAGUGCCCAUGUUUGUUUUCUUGUGAUUUUCCUUUUCCCCACCUCCUGUUCUGAGCGAGAAUCAAGGAGGAGGGAUGGUGACCUCAUGGUGUAGUUAUGCAAUCUGCCAGAGCCAGGUAUCAAAACACACUGCAGCUGUGGAGCUGGGACCUCGCUGUGGCUGGGGGCCCUGGCCUCCUGGCUCUAAUGAGAUCACUGACCUUCUCCUGCCACUUCUUCUGCAGCUGCUUUGAUUCCCAGGGAUUUGUUGUGGCCAUGCCUGCCUAACGGUUUGGAAAGCUGCUGCAGGGACUGCUGCAUCCACAGGCAGGCUCUGGGAGCUGGCCCUGAAGACCUUGAGCAGGUGUAUUACUCCUGUGGUGCAGUGGUGGAAUCAAUGGAAAGAGGCCUGAUUUUGUCACCAGGUUUUCCAAACAACUAUUACCCAGGGACACACUGCGUCUGGCAGUUUUUCAUUCCCAUGAGAACCCAUCUCAUCUUGGAAAUAUUUGACUUUGACAUUUUUGAGAGCUCUAGUGAAACUCCAACCCCCUGGGAUGGCUUUACAGCCCCUGCUACAACAGAAAAUAAGGACAUGCCUUCUCUUGAGGAAAACCUGGAAUUUGCUGUCCACACCACAAAACCCUCUCUCCGGGCCUCAGCAUCAAAGGUGGCUCAGAAUCUGAGCAGCACCAGAGACCAGUCAAAGGACCUUGCUGGUCACCUGAGUGAACUUCCAGGAUCCAUCUCAAAAAAAGAUGAAGCCAAACAAGCAUCUGAAGAAAACCAGUGGAAGCAGAUGAAGGAACCCAAAGCAAUUACCAAGGAGGAGCUGCCAUUCCCCGUGGCUGGUAGUGUCUCAAUGCAGAGGCAAAACACCAGUGGCCUGGAAACAGGAGAGGAUUUGGAAGGGAAGAUCUUGCUUGCCCACCUGGCUGCUAGUGAGAGAAAUGAAGUCACAGUAGAGAGCUGGACUCUUCCCUCAACAGCAUUGCCCUUGGAAAUCUCCUCCAGCCCUCAGUCAGCAGUGGAUGUCUGUCCCCAUGAUGUAUUAUAUGUUUCCGAUCUCAUCACAUUUUCCUCUCGCUUCUGCGGCCCAAAUUCCCCUGUAAACAAGACCAUGGUCUUUGGUUCAUCUCUGGAAAUGGUUGAGGUUAUUAUGGAGCUGAUCACCACCACGGACCGGGGCCGAGGCUUUGCGAUGCUGUUCGAGUACAGGAACAUCACUGACCCCAGCACUGUGGAUGCUGUGAGGCAGGAGAGGAAGGAGAACAUGAUGAUGCUGGCAAUUGUAACAGGGAUCAUUGUUUUUGCUCUUGCUUUGCUCUCUGCCCUCUGUGUAGCUUGCAGGCAGAGAACGUGCCCCAAAAGGAGCUCAUCCAACGCAUGCAGUGACCAGGAGAACAGGAUCCAGAACUCCACUGUCGAUAUCAAUGAGCUCCAGCUGGUGGUGCCAAGUCGGGAGAAUGAAAACAACAACCACUCUGUGAGCCGGGAGCAGGCGGUCACUUCCUGCAGAGGCAGCACGGAACGGUCUCCUCAGGACACUGACCCAGAUGUGCCCUCCUCCAUCUCUGCAGUGACCACUGAGACUGGGAGUGAUGAAGUGUUUAUCAUUUCUGCUGGACCUGGGACCAGUGGGCUGAGCUUUACCACCUACAGGAUACAGGACAAAAACCUGAAAAGAAGUGUCACAAGCCCGGCCUCUGUGUCUGACUGGCUGAGCUCACACCCCACGGCUGCAGGGGCAGACGCUGCUGAGAAGGGGAAUGUGCAGCUGGAGAAUCCCUGUCCCAGGCAGCGCACCUGGAGCGCCCGCACCUUCCACGACUUCCUGGCUCCAAUACCACAGCUACAGAAAAAAUGGUGUAGCUGGAGCACCAACAGCCCCUUCACAAAGCUGGUUGACAGCAGUGGCUUUUCUACAGCUGCAAGAUCCCAAGCUGUGCCAACCAGAAAGGUAAUCUCAGCCACUGAGAUAGAGGGAGCAUCAGAGACUGUUUACUCUGAUUCAUCUGCCAGUAAUGCCUCAUACCCCCUCACUCUGUCUGCACAGAGGCAGCGGAAGUUAACCUCCUGCAAUUUGAAGAAAUCCAGAUUUGGGAACCCUUAUUUUGGAUUUUUAGCCAGUUCUCCUGACACCAAACAUGUCAGGUCCUUGGAUCCCUCAAGACAUCUAGGGGCAGCAUCUCCAGUUAACAGCCAAAGCCCCAAAAAUCUUCUAGAGAGCUCCAACCCACUGAAAAUCAACUUGGUCAACGGUUCAAAAACAAAGGAGCUUAUGGCAGAAACAGAUAAAAACAAACCAGUUUUUGUUAUUUCUGAAGAAGGGGAUGAUCAGCAGCCUCUGGUCUUGGCAGAACACCUUAGUCAGUGUGGAGAUCACCUGUCAGAGCAAAAUGCUGUGUAUGCUCUGGCCCUGCCAGAAAAACAGCCAGUGGUUCCAACUGCAGAGGGGAACAGCUCUGCCACCUUCACAUCGAGUCUUCCCCUUUGGGCAAAAUCCCCCAGUUCAUACAAAGGUCACGGGAAGGCCCCCAGCUCCUCCAGGGACCAGCAGAGCUCAGCAGGUGGAGAUGCCAACACUACUGAGACCUCACAGAACUGCGACACCCCCACUGCUCCUACGCUGUGCCAAGCUUCAGUCCAGUGA